AGUGAACGCUGGCGGUAGGCCUAACACAUGCAGGUCGAACGGCAGCACAGGAGAGCUUGCUCUCUGGGUGGCGAGUGGCGGACGGGUGAGGAAUACAUCGGAAUCUACUCUGUCGUGGGGGAUAACGUAGGGAAACUUACGCUAAUACCGCAUACGACCUACGGGUGAAAGCAGGGGACCUUCGGGCCUUGCGCGAUUGAAUGAGCCGAUGUCGGAUUAGCUAGUUGGCGGGGUAAAGGCCCACCAAGGCGACGAUCCGUAGCUGGUCUGAGAGGAUGAUCAGCCACACUGGAACUGAGACACGGUCCAGACUCCUACGGGAGGCAGCAGUGGGGAAUAGUGGACAAUGGGCGCAAGCCUGAUCCAGCCAUACCGCGUGGGUGAAGAAGGCCUUCGGGUUGUAAAGCCCUUUUGUUGGGAAAGAAAUCCAGCUGGCUAAUACCCGGUUGGGAUGACGGUACCCAAAGAAUAAGCACCGGCUAACUUCGUGCCAGCAGCCGCAGUAA
Molecule: ribosomal RNA, 506 nt
Filed under: uncultured bacterium
Lineage: Bacteria
Description: partial 16S ribosomal RNA
Rfam family: Bacterial small subunit ribosomal RNA
Source: RNAcentral